Molecule: long non-coding RNA, 2261 nt
Organism: Betta splendens (Siamese fighting fish)
Lineage: Eukaryota; Metazoa; Chordata; Actinopteri; Anabantiformes; Osphronemidae
Source: Ensembl
GUGGUCCUUCGCGCUAAGAUGAACUUCCAUCUUUGCUCACAGUUGACUAGAUGGAGCUGUUCCAGUUUGAACUGUGGUACUGAGAUCUUGUUACCGAACACUGUCAUUGACAGAGAAAGCAGCGACGACUGGUGUCAGUAUGAGGAAAUAUCAACUCGGCAGGUUCCCAACAACGCUCCAUUUCUACUGAUGUAAGUACAAACUAGCUGAAGGUCAACAGUGUCUUUUUAAAUCGAACAAGCACAAAUAUUUAACAUUUAUUUAUCACAUUUUUUUUACAUUAGUAUGAUUAGGAGAUUUGCAAAUUGUAUCACCACUGUUAACUUACAAUGCAAGUUUUCCACACACACCAACAGUAGGGAAAAAACUCUAGGACACUAACACUGUAAAUGAUUUUUGACACGAAAUUUCAUUGAAGGUUGAGCGGUGGUUCAUGGGUAGGGAAUAAUAAUGGCAUCACUAAUUGGCGAGCUAUUACAGUGGUUGAUGUGAGAAACAGAUCUGACACCAACAAAGCCAACUCAUCACCACAGACCACCAUCCUGCCUCUUCUCAGGUGAGCAUCCAGAAAUGUGCUGAGGUUGAAGCUGAAACAUGUUGGUCAGCGCUGUCUUAACGUAAACUUAACCCCCCCUUCCUUCCAGAGUUCCUUCAAACUGUCAAAGAGACUUUAACCUCUUGGCCUUUGACUCUGAUGGAGAUAAUGUAAGAUGCAGAUAUGGAGAUGCAUCACUGUCAGAGUGUUACACCUGCACUCAACCACCUGUUCUCAACCUCUCAGCAUCCUGUACGUUGUCAUUCAGCCCAACAAGCAGCAGUAAUGAAGGAGCGUAUGUUGUUCAGAUGGUGAUGGAGGACUUUCCAAAGCAGAAUAUCACCCUGACUCAAACUAAUGGUUCACAGGAGGUGAAAAGCAACAAUGAUGCCGUCAGCAAGAUUCCAGUCCAGUUUGUUGUAAGCGUGGAUCCUGUGGUGCCGUCCUGCACAGAGGGACUUUAUUUGCCCAAGUUCCUGCCUCCAACCCCAGAUAAUGGGGCUCAUCUGUACACGCUGGUCAAUCAGUCCCUGACAAUUGCCAUCAAGGCCGAGACUCUUAAUGCUACGAUGUCGGAGCUGCUGUACAGUGGGCCGUCCAGCAUUAACCAGACCACGUCAGGUCCAGGACACUACAUCAUGACGUGGACUCCAUCUCAACGCGAGGAUGGAGAAAGUCACCCCAUCUGCUUUGUCGUCCAGGCUACAUACAAUGGAGUGAAGUAUCACUCAGAGCUUCGAUGCGUCGUCGUUGCUGUAAAAGCACCUCCACUAUUCAGACAUAAAGUUGUUGUAGCCCUGAAAAUAAAGGUCUCCCCCUCAUCUCCAGUGUCUGAGGAAGACAUCAGGAUUAGCAUCAUCCAAAAGGUGGGUCUCUUCUCAACUAGAGAUAAGCCCCCUCCCAAAAAAAAGAUUUGUUUUGGUGAAAGUUUAAAGGAAAACUUCAUCAAUUUUGAAUGGGAGUUGACCCAAACAAUACAUAUUUAAGAAUAAGGGGAUCAGAUUCCUGCAUAUUUUCUAUGCAGAGAAAUGAUCAUUUAUUCCUCUGCAAAAGUCCUCUGAAACAUUUCAGAGGACUUUUUGCCACGCGCUCACAGACUACAACUAGUGCUUCCUGUUUUUUUCUGAACCUGCCCCAGCAACAGUUGGGCUGAGAGGGGGCGGAGCUAAACGACAGGUAGGUCCAAUCACUGCAGCUCAGGAGAGUUGUCAGAGUGCAAUGCAUUCUGAGUGUUGUUGUGACAUUCAGCCUCCGCGCCGCUAGAGGCGCUCCUAGGGCUUUGGUGGGGGUCUGUUUUGAGUUUUCAUUUCCUGUGUAAUUAGUUGACCCACCUGUUUUGGUUGUAUUUAAGGGAUGUCUUUUGUUUCCCACACUUGUUGGUGUGUACGAGGUUGUAGCCAGUGAGCUACACUAUGUUACCGGUUAAAGAGAGGAGAGCUAAGAAGUGGAGUUCUUUUGUUUGUUUGACGUCCUGUCUCACCACUUAAGGUUUGAGUGUCUUGUGUCAGUGUGUAGGAUUUUUAGUUGUCCUGUGUUAGGUAUUGUGUACAUGUUUAGGUGUAGCCCAUAGUGAAUGGAGCGUGUUCGUGUCCUUAGUAGACGUUACUGUACCUGCACUGCAGUGAUUUUUAGUUUCCUUCAGUUGUGUUUGAACUACAUCGUGCUGUGCAGUGAGUUUUUGUUGUAUUUGAAUAAACCUUUAAUGCUAAUUAUAGCUUCUGUGUUU